Molecule: long non-coding RNA, 1819 nt
Filed under: Nicotiana tabacum (common tobacco)
Lineage: Eukaryota; Viridiplantae; Streptophyta; Magnoliopsida; Solanales; Solanaceae
Description: long non-coding RNA (NTAB_LNC011805)
Source: RNAcentral
CCCUGAAGUCGAUAUGCAGAUUCACUCACAUCUUAACAAAUUACGUCACAUCCUCAAUCACAAGGACUUAUUUUAACAAAUGAGUAUAGAAAAAUGACAGAGAAAGACACACAUGCAAGCUUUGAAUCUAGCUUCAUUUAACAUUCACAUUUGCUAAGAGAAUCCUAAGGCUCUCCCCUGUUGAUCCUACCACAGCCCGACUAAUAUAACUUCUAAGAGAUGCAUCCAAAACAAGUUGAAUCAACAAAUACUAGGAAAAAUUCAAUUACAAUUACCAUGAAACUUACAAUUCACAGCACAGUCCCAUUUAUACACGCCAUAAUAGCAAAUUUAGGUCAUUAUAUUAACUGAAACAUUUUUAAGGUUGAAUAUUACAAACAUAAAUGAGGUUGGACAAAAUGAAUGAGAUCCAACAUGGAUUUCAUCAUUAUUGUUCAAAUUCCAAAGCCAGACUUCAAAUACACCUAGGUGAUGUCCAUGGAGUUUUGGAGAAUACCUGUUCACAGCAAACAAACAACACCAAAGCCUGAAGUUAUGACCCAAUUGCAGGAGCAGUUUAGCAAAGAAGAUACAACAACAAAAUCAAUUCAAAACCAGUAAUGGAAUACUGACCAGCAGCAUUCGAAUCAGUCUUUGAAUCCCAGAAAAAGAGAAAAGUUAUGAAGAUUUCAGAAUCAGGAUCAGUUGCAAAAACCAGUCUGAUUUUACCAAAAAAUGCAAGAAUUCUCCAGUACUUUCAGCUCAACUUUUCAUAAUCCCUUUCAGAAUUUUUACCUCUUUAGGAAUCUCUUUAAAGGCAAGCUACUAGGGCAACUUUAAAAUGUUCAGUUUUGCAUUUUAGACCUUUUUGAAUUUUCUUUUUGCUUAAAAAUCCCUAGAUUAUUGACUUGUUGGCCAAGUAAAACCUAUUUUCAGCUUCUAGGAAGCUUCUUCAGGUGGUUACCAAAAGAUUUUCUAGAUGAACUUACCCAAAUUGCCCCCCCCCCCAUACCCAUGAAAAUUACUUUAGUUUCAGCUCUCUAACCUUCAGCUUAUGGGUCAAGUUAACCCAAGAUUUAGCCCCAAAAACCAGAUUGACUUCCCUUACUUUGGGCCUCAGAUUUUAACAGGAACCCAUCCCAAUUUUAUAAUUGACAAGGCACACAACCCAAAAUUCACAACCCAAAUCAGUUACGAAUUGCAAUCAGAAACAAACAAAAACGAAUUACUUAACACUAACAUGAGAAUCAAAUAAAUGCAACUAACAUGCUUUCACUUUAAUCAUGCAAACAUUGCUUCAACAAGUGAACAAUAAUAAGGCACAAAAAAGAUGAACAGCAGAAGGUGACGAUGGGGUGACGAACAAUAGAAUGGAGAAAAGGAGAAGAACAGGGGCAUCUAAUCAAGAGACGCAGAUAAACGAAACUUGAUGGAACCCGGACCUUUCGAUUUCGAGCCGAACUUGGUCUCAAUCAUGCGUUCUUGUCAAUAACGGACAAACGAGGCUAGUUUCGACUCUAAACCUCUUGCUAAAAUUGGAGAAAAUGUUAGGAUAUUCGUCCCCUGGAACUUCAAACCUUGGAUUUCGGAUUCGGCGAAUUCUGGCCUCAUUCGAGAAGAACUGGCUUGGGAUUUGGAGAGAGGGGAGUGUGAUGGUGAUUUGGUGUUGAUUUGGGUGAGGUUGGAGCUUUGUUGCCUGUGAAAAUGGUGGAUUAGGAUUUUUUUAGAGGAGUAAGAGAUGAAGAAGAUGAAGGAGAUGGGGCAGAACUGAUUUGGUCUCUGGGGGUGGAUUCAGACACUUUUAAGAGAAAUGGGAAAAGUGUGGGAACCGUUGGAUGUG